GCCACGCCCAUCACCACACCACAGCCAAUGAAGGGGAAGCGCACUAAAAUCCAAUGGUCGAAUUCACUGGAGUAUUCAGAGGCUUGCAAGGACCACACUGAAAUUUAAGGGUUAGAGACGGACAGUGGAUAGAUCACUGAGAUCGGUAUGACCAAAGCAGUGUGCUAACAUCGAGCGAACGUCAACAGAUCCGGCAGUCCUGCUCAAACAUUACUUCAAACCAGAUAUGCUGACCAGGGUUAGUGUUUGGAAGAUGGAUGGGAGGACUGUGAGAGACUGGGAGAGGUGAGGAUCGCACCUCAUCGAAGUCGGCGAUGAUCUCGUUGAGUAGUCGAAGGCACUCCACGCCCAUGUUG
Molecule: long non-coding RNA, 356 nt
Organism: Paramormyrops kingsleyae
Lineage: Eukaryota; Metazoa; Chordata; Actinopteri; Osteoglossiformes; Mormyridae
Source: RefSeq, a predicted model, not a curated record